RNAcentral lists this transfer RNA (73 nucleotides) under Deltaproteobacteria bacterium. Its description in RNAcentral is "tRNA-Thr". It matches the Rfam family "tRNA". Rfam says of the family: Transfer RNA (tRNA) molecules are approximately 80 nucleotides in length. The record is from RNAcentral. Lineage: Bacteria; Pseudomonadati; Myxococcota; Myxococcia.
GCCACCAUAGCUCAGCUGGUAGAGCACUCGCUUCGUAAGCGAUAGGUCGCCGAUUCAAUUUCGGCUGGUGGCU